This 406-nucleotide ribosomal RNA is filed under the name Chilostoma cingulatum peregrini. Its description in RNAcentral is "partial 16S ribosomal RNA". It matches the Rfam family "Archaeal large subunit ribosomal RNA", at positions 1908 to 2670 of the family's 2987-position model. RNAcentral also lists the same sequence under 1 other name. Lineage: Eukaryota; Metazoa; Mollusca; Gastropoda; Stylommatophora; Helicidae. The record is from RNAcentral.
AAUUAUAUGUUAUUAUAUAUAACUAUUUCUGCUCAAUGGAGUACUAAAUAGCCGCAGUACUUUGACUGUGCAAAGGUAGCAUAAUCAGUUGACUUAUAAUUGAAGUCUGGCAUGAACGAAUUUACGGGUAACGACUGUCUUAGGGAAAAAUUAAAGAAUUUAAUUAUCAAGUGCAAAUGCUUGAGGACUUAAAAUAGACGAGAAGACCCUAGAAACUUUAAAUUUUGUUGGGGCGACAAAAUUACACGGAACUAAUUUUAAUAUUACGUGAAGCGUAGAAGAAAGAUUAAGUUACUCUAGGGAUAACAGCAUAAUUUAUAAUAGUUUGUGACCUCGAUGUUGGACUAGGUAAUGUAGUUUUUAGAAGAAACUAUUGGUUGCUCUGUUCGAGCAGUUUUACCUACAU